CCGCCUGGGGAGUACGGCCGCAAGGUUAAAACUCAAAUGAAUUGACGGGGGCCCGCACAAGCGGUGGAGCAUGUGGUUUAAUUCGAUGCAACGCGAAGAACCUUACCUGGUCUUGACAUCCACAGAACUUUCCAGAGAUGGAUUUGUGCCUUCGGGAACUGUGAGACAGGUGCUGCAUGGCUGUCGUCAGCUCGUGUUGUGAAAUGUUGGGUUAAGUCCCGCAACGAGCGCAACCCUUAUCCUUUGUUGCCAGCGAUUAGGUCGGGAACUCA
This 272-nucleotide ribosomal RNA is filed under the name Salmonella enterica subsp. enterica serovar 1,4,[5],12:i:-. RNAcentral describes it as "partial 16S ribosomal RNA". It matches the Rfam family "Bacterial small subunit ribosomal RNA", at positions 869 to 1141 of the family's 1533-position model. Lineage: Bacteria; Pseudomonadati; Pseudomonadota; Gammaproteobacteria; Enterobacterales; Enterobacteriaceae. The record is from RNAcentral.